RNAcentral lists this ribosomal RNA (497 nucleotides) under uncultured bacterium. Its description in RNAcentral is "partial 16S ribosomal RNA". It matches the Rfam family "Bacterial small subunit ribosomal RNA", at positions 28 to 507 of the family's 1533-position model. The record is from RNAcentral.
GAUGAACGCUGGCGGCGUGCCUAAUACAUGCAAGUAGAACGCGAAGGGAAGGAGCUUGCUCUUUCGGGUUGAGUGGCGAACGGGGGAGUAACGCGUGGGUAACCUGCCUGUAAGCGGGGGAUAACUUUUGGAAACGAUAGCUAAUACCGCAUAAAAUUAGAUGUGGCAUGAUUCCUACUUAAAAGGUGCAAUUGCACCACUACAAGAUGGACUUGCGUUGUAUUAGUUAGUUGGUGAGGUAACGGCUCACCAAGGCGACGAUACAUAGCCGACCUGAGAGGGUGAUCAGCCACACUGGGACUGAGACACGGCCCAGACUCCUACGGGAAGCAGCAGUAGGGAAUCUUCGGCAAUGGACGGAAGUCUGACCGAGCAACGCCGCGUGAGUGAAGAAGGGUUUCGGAUCGGAAAGCUCUGUUGUAAGAGAAGAACGAGUGUGAGAGUGGAAAGUUCACACUGUGACGGUAUCUUACCAGAAAGGGACGGCUAACUACGUG